This 87-nucleotide transfer RNA is filed under the name Verrucomicrobiota bacterium JB022. Its description in RNAcentral is "tRNA-Leu". It matches the Rfam family "tRNA". From Rfam's summary of the family: Transfer RNA (tRNA) molecules are approximately 80 nucleotides in length. Their secondary structure includes four short double-helical elements and three loops (D, anti-codon, and T loops). Further hydrogen bonds mediate the characteristic L-shaped molecular structure. tRNAs have two regions of fundamental functional importance: the anti-codon, which is responsible for specific mRNA codon recognition, and the 3' end, to which the tRNAs corresponding amino acid is attached (by aminoacyl-tRNA synthetases). tRNAs cope with the degeneracy of the genetic code in two manners: having more than one tRNA (with a specific anti-codon) for a particular amino acid; and 'wobble' base-pairing, i.e. permitting non-standard base-pairing at the 3rd anti-codon position. Lineage: Bacteria; Pseudomonadati; Verrucomicrobiota. The record is from RNAcentral.
GCCCGGGUGGCGGAAUUGGCAGACGCUGCAGACUUAGGAUCUGUUGCCAGCAAUGGCGUGGGGGUUCAAGUCCCCCCUCGGGCACCA